CACCCAGUGGGUGUGCUGGCGCACCCCCACGGAAGAUUGCAAACAAAAGAAGAGUUUUGUCUGGUUGCCAGCAGCCGGCAGAAGAGAAAAAUAAGAAAAAGGACGCUGCAAGAUGCCUCGCCGCCUGGCCGGUCGAGCCUGACCGGCCGGGACCCCCCUUCGAGCACCCGGAGGCUCGAAGGCUACACCCAACGGGUACGCCGGCGCGCUCCGGGAGCGCCGAGCCGUGCCGGCUGUCUUCGACAACGACCGCGACUACACGAAAAUCAAUGUGAGCUCCUCACCCGUAUAUUUUUUGCACCACGCAAGCACGGAUAACCCCGAGCGAAGCUCGGGGCUGUCUCCUCGUUUUAUUACAGUAGCAUCACUGUUUGCCCCGGCGCCAACCAGAGUUGGCCCGGGGGCUGGCCGCUUGGCCUGAGAUGUUAGAUCCCGCAGACGGCUUAAUACUAUGCACAGUACCAAAGGCCCACUCUUAGUCACAGACCGCAGAGUGGCUGUCCGACUAGCAAGAGUGAACGCUGGAGGCCACCCACGCGAAAAACGUCCGGGAAGAAAAACGGUUCGGGCGACCCGGUCAUUUCCUUUACAAGUAUCUACUCGGUUGAAUCUGUUCUCAGACUCUGAGUACUGUACAUUCCACUUCGCGGCCCACUCUCAGCCACAGACCGCAGAGCGGCUGUCCGGCAAGCAAGAGCACAAGCCAAAAGGCGGAGGGAACACGAAAAAGAUUAAGGGGGCUCGGACGAAACUGAGUCGGCACCCCCCGCAUAAAACUUGCAAUGCUAAAAGCAAACAUUUGAUAUAUCUGCGUGGACUAACUUUGUCUUUUUCAUGAUCAUUCCCAUGAACACUCGCCAAAAAACCUCCGCCCAACUUUACCAAGUUGCCCGGAGGCUUGGGGGCUACUGUCGGAAUAAUUGGACACGGAUAUCCCGAAGACGGCGAGACUAGAAUUCAAGACAUCAGGGCUAGCAUAGACCCUCAGUCCAACUACCUGGCAGGCGGCUGACUGCUGGCUGCUGACUGCUCCACCAGGCCGACUGCUGGCUGCUGACUGCUCCACCAAGCCGACUGUUGGCUGCCGACUUCCCGGCCGCCCCAGGCCGGCUGCUGGCUGCUGACUGCUCCACCAGGCCGGCUGCUGGCUAUUGAUUGCUCCACCAGGCCGACUGCUGGCUGCUGGCUGCUCCACCAGGCCGGCUGCUGGCUGCUGACUACUCUACCAGGCCGACUGCUAGCUGCUGACUGCUCCACCAGGCCGACUACUGACUGCUGACUGCUCCACCAGGCUGACUGCUGGCUGCCGACUACUCCACCAGGCCGACGGUUGGCUGUCGACUGCUCCAACCAGCCGGCUUCCCGAAGUCAACUGGAGCCUGACACGACCCCGACGUGACGAUCGUACCUGAGCACUGUACACGCGACACCCCAACCAUCAUGUACAGUGACACUUGUCCCUGGGCACUAUUUAUGAAGUGACCCAGGGGACAAGUGUGACACCCCACCAUGCCAAUAGCUAGCUAGCUACCAUGCCUACAUAGCUUAGAUAGUAAGCUAGCUCCACACUAUAUAUAUCCAUCCAUCCACCCUCACAUGCACACACGCAUGAGCAUACACAUGCUCACGGCCAUGAGCCAUGAGCAUGGCCGGCCACUAGAGCAUGCCACAUACAUGCAUAUAUAAAACCAGAUGCCUGUGGCACUGCUUUCAGAUACAGCUCUAGGAGAAACUCUAUACCAGAUAUACCAGAUAUACUCAAACAUGCAGGAGUUGGGGU
RNAcentral lists this ribosomal RNA (1780 nucleotides) under Triticum aestivum (bread wheat). RNAcentral's name for it is "partial small subunit ribosomal RNA". The record is from RNAcentral. Lineage: Eukaryota; Viridiplantae; Streptophyta; Magnoliopsida; Poales; Poaceae.